UAGGCAUGGGUGGCAUUUUUAAAAAUGCUUGCAGUUUUAAAAAUUCAAGUUUUUAAAUACUCCAGAGUUGCAGAAUAGAUUCUGUGGGGAAAAGAGGGCAUGACUUUUUGAAUUCCAUGUCCCCAAGCCAAGUUUUACAAAGAACCAUCAUUAGCAUUCUGCCCUCUGUGGUACUCAGACUGCCUCUCCAGAGACCCGGUAUAAUUGGAGAAGCAUCAAGGACCCUGAGCCUGCUGACGCUCGUAAAGGAUGAGGAGGAUUGAGCACUCAGGAGGCAGAGGAAGGCAGAUCUCUGGGAGUUUGAGGCCAGCCUAUUACACAGAAAAACCUGUCUCCAGGAAAAAAAAAAAAGGAAAAAUCUUGAAAUGAAAUAAAAUUGGGCCGAUGAGUGGACAUUCUA
This is a long non-coding RNA of Apodemus sylvaticus (European woodmouse), 400 nucleotides long. RefSeq lists it as uncharacterized. The transcript is spliced from 2 exons. The record is from RefSeq and is a predicted model, not a curated record. NCBI's taxonomy places the organism in Eukaryota, Metazoa, Chordata, Mammalia, Rodentia, Muridae.